This 745-nucleotide ribosomal RNA is filed under the name uncultured bacterium. RNAcentral describes it as "bacterial SSU rRNA". It matches the Rfam family "Bacterial small subunit ribosomal RNA", at positions 506 to 1256 of the family's 1533-position model. The record is from RNAcentral.
UGCCAGCAGCCGCGGUAAUACGUAGGGUCCAAGCGUUAAUCGGAAUUACUGGGCGUAAAGCGUGCGCAGGCGGUUGUGCAAGACCGAUGUGAAAUCCCCGAGCUUAACUUGGGAAUUGCAUUGGUGACUGCACGGCUAGAGUGUGUCAGAGGGGGGUAGAAUUCCACGUGUAGCAGUGAAAUGCGUAGAGAUGUGGAGGAAUACCGAUGGCGAAGGCAGCCCCCUGGGAUAACACUGACGCUCAUGCACGAAAGCGUGGGGAGCAAACAGGAUUAGAUACCCUGGUAGUCCACGCCCUAAACGAUGUCAACUAGUUGUUGGGGAUUCAUUUCCUUAGUAACGUAGCUAACGCGUGAAGUUGACCGCCUGGGGAGUACGGUCGCAAGAUUAGAACUCAAAGGAAUUGACGGGGACCCGCACAAGCGGUGGAUGAUGUGGAUUAAUUCGAUGCAACGCGAAAAACCUUACCUACCCUUGACAUGCCACUAACGAAGCAGAGAUGCAUUAGGUGCUCGAAAGAGAAAGUGGACACAGGUGCUGCAUGGCCGUCGUCAGCUCGUGUCGUGAGAUGUUGGGUUAAGUCCCGCAACGAGCGCGACCCUUGUCUCUAGUUGCUACGAAAGGGCACUCUAGAGAGACUGCCGGUGACAAACCGGAGGAAGGUGGGGAUGACGUCAAGUCCUCAUGGCCCUUAUGGGUAGGGCUUCACACGUCACACAAUGGUGCAUUCAGUUAAUACGACUAC